GGGCCUUGGUAGCGCAGCUAACGCGUGAAGUUGACCGCCUGGGGAGUACGGUCGCAAGAUUAAAACUCAAAGGAAUUGACGGGGACCCGCACAAGCGGUGGAUGAUGUGGAUUAAUUCGAUGCAACGCGAAAAACCUUACCUACCCUUGACAUGUCUGGAAUGCCGAAGAGAUUUGGCAGUGCUCGCAAGAGAACCGGAACACAGGUGCUGCAUGGCUGUCGUCAGCUCGUGUCGUGAGAUGUUGGGUUAAGUCCCGCAACGAGCGCAACCCUUGUCAUUAGUUGCUACGAAAGGGCACUCUAAUGAGACUGCCGGUGACAAACCGGAGGAAGGUGGGGAUGACGUCAAGUCCUCAUGGCCCUUAUGGGUAGGGCUUCACACGUCAUACAAUGGUCGGGACAGAGGGUCGCCAACCCGCGAGGGGGAGCCAAUCCCAGAAACCCGAUCGUAGUCCGGAUCGCAGUCUGCAACUCGACUGCGUGAAGUCGGAAUCGCUAGUAAUCGCGGAUCAGCAUGUCGCGGUGAA
RNAcentral lists this ribosomal RNA (527 nucleotides) under uncultured bacterium. RNAcentral's name for it is "bacterial SSU rRNA". It matches the Rfam family "Bacterial small subunit ribosomal RNA", at positions 835 to 1366 of the family's 1533-position model. The record is from RNAcentral.